GGGGCGAAAUCCGAAAAGCCAAAUGAGUAGGAA
This 33-nucleotide non-coding RNA is filed under the name Algoriphagus machipongonensis. The record is from RNAcentral. Lineage: Bacteria; Pseudomonadati; Bacteroidota; Cytophagia; Cytophagales; Cyclobacteriaceae.